Molecule: RNase P RNA, 530 nt
Filed under: Treponema sp.
Lineage: Bacteria; Pseudomonadati; Spirochaetota; Spirochaetia; Treponematales; Treponemataceae
Description: RNase P RNA component class A
Rfam family: Bacterial RNase P class A
About the family: Ribonuclease P (RNase P) is a ubiquitous endoribonuclease, found in archaea, bacteria and eukarya as well as chloroplasts and mitochondria. Its best characterised activity is the generation of mature 5'-ends of tRNAs by cleaving the 5'-leader elements of precursor-tRNAs. Cellular RNase Ps are ribonucleoproteins.
Source: RNAcentral
GCGAUGAACCAGACUGCCGCUCAGUAUCGCAUUCAGGUACAGGGAGGAAAGUCCGGGCUCCGCAGGGCAUGAUGCCGGGUAACGCCCGGGACAUUUUCAGGGAUUUAUUCCUGAAGGUGGACAGACAGCGCAGCAGAAAAUAUACCGCCUGACCGCCUGACCGCUAGAAUGUAUAAAGUAAUGUUAUACAAUAGUGAUUUUUCAUACGUUUUAGCAGUCAGGCGGUCAGGUAAGGGUGAAAUGGCGGGGUAAGAGCCAGCCUCGACGGCGGUAACGCCGCCGCAAAGAUUUCGGCUUUAACUGAGGAUGGUUUAUCAUUUUCAAGUUAACCGGAAAAUGGCAAGCCUCAUCAGGAGCAAAGUCGAACAGCGUUUAAAAACCGAUUUUUAUCGGUUUACCGGCGGCCCGCCGGAUAUACGCGGGUAGACUGCUUAAAAAAAGCGGGUAACUGCUUUUUCAGACAGAUGGCAGUAAAGACCAAAAGCCGUAAGCUUUUGGUUACAGAACCCGGCUUAUGGUUCAUCGCUUUU